ACUCCUACGGGAGGCAGCAGUGGGGAAUCUUCCGCAAUGGGCGAAAGCCUGACGGAGCAACGCCGCGUGAGCGAAGAAGGUCUUCGGAUUGUAAAGCUCUGUCAGGAGGGACGAAGCCACUCGGGUGAAUAGCCCAGAGGGUGACGGUACCUCCAGAGGAAGCCCCGGCUAACUACGUGCCAGCAGCCGCGGUAAUACGUAGGGGGCGAGCGUUGUCCGGAAUCAUUGGGCGUAAAGCGCGUGUAGGCGGCCGACCAAGUCCGAUGUGAAAGCUCGGGGCUCAACCCCGAGUCUGCAUUGGAAACUGAUCGGCUAGAGUCCGGAAGAGGAGACUGGAAUUCCUGGUGUAGCGGUGAAAUGCGCAGAUAUCAGGAAGAACACCGGUGGCGAAGGCGGGUCUCUGGGACGGUACUGACGCUGAGACGCGAAAGCGUGGGGAUCAAACAGGAUUAGAUACCCUGGUAGUCCACGCCGUAAACGAUGAGUACUAGGUGUCGGGGGUUACCCCCCUCGGUGCCGCAGCUAACGCAUUAAGUACUCCGCCUGGGGAGUACGCUCGCAAGAGUGAAACUCAAAGGAAUUGACGG
Molecule: ribosomal RNA, 587 nt
Filed under: bacterium enrichment culture clone MS11
Lineage: Bacteria
Description: bacterial SSU rRNA
Rfam family: Bacterial small subunit ribosomal RNA
Source: RNAcentral